CGGUGGCUAGAACUGCAGGAGGGGCGGGAGAGGCGGAGAACCUUGCCGGCGCACGCAAGGAUGGAUCCCGCCUAGCGCUCCACAUCAGAUCGCCACCGUUCUUGGUAUUUGACCGGCGACGCCACCUCCCGCCGGUCUUGUACUCGAGUCUGCAUCCUCUCAGGGAAUAACAGAGAUGUCCAAGUUACCAUGAGGUCAAGUUUCUUCUUCUACAUUUGAUCGGUAGUUAUUUGUGUUGGACUGCAGGGCAUCAUCCACCCAUCAUUUUGAAAUGUACCUGCAGCUGCUAAUCGGCAAGUAUGAGUUUGAACAUGAUGUAUGCGAUGCCUAUGUGGUCUUGUUUUUGCAACGGCAAUGCUUCCAUGUAAUCUGAAUUUAGUACUUUUGUCCAGUCAGGGACACGUCUAAUGUUAGGUAAAUGGAACUUGUGAUGGGCUUCAUGUUAUUUAAAUCAACGUGUGUAAUUGUUAUUUAGAUGGGCUUGUAGUAUUUUUGUGACCUGAAUCGAAAGUGGCUUCGUGUUAUGACUGAAUCUGAAGUGUCAGUUCAAAGUUGACGUGUGGCCUAUGACAUAAAAAAUCAGAUCUUUGCUAACGUUUUGUUGAUUUGC
This is a long non-coding RNA of Lolium rigidum, 610 nucleotides long. RefSeq lists it as uncharacterized. The transcript has 3 exons. Lineage: Eukaryota; Viridiplantae; Streptophyta; Magnoliopsida; Poales; Poaceae. The record is from RefSeq and is a predicted model, not a curated record.